RNAcentral lists this ribosomal RNA (253 nucleotides) under uncultured bacterium. RNAcentral describes it as "partial 16S ribosomal RNA". It matches the Rfam family "Bacterial small subunit ribosomal RNA", at positions 524 to 776 of the family's 1533-position model. The record is from RNAcentral.
GACAGAGGGUGCAAACGUUGUUCGGAAUUACUGGGCGUAAAGCGCGUGUAGGCUGCUCGGAAAGUCGGAUGUGAAAGCCCUGGGCUCAACCUAGGAAGUGCAUUCGAAACUUCCGAGCUGGAGUGCUGGAGAGGAAGGCGGAAUUCUCGGUGUAGAGGUGAAAUUCGUAGAUAUCGAGAGGAACACCGGUGGCGAAGGCGGCGUUCUGGACUGCAGCUGACACUGAUGAACGAAAGCCAGGGGAGCAAACGGG